Long non-coding RNA from Homo sapiens (human), 729 nucleotides. Lineage: Eukaryota; Metazoa; Chordata; Mammalia; Primates; Hominidae. The record is from Ensembl.
GCAUAAUUACAGGCUGCAGACAGGCUGGACAAUAAAAUAUCUCGGCUCGAUAUUUUUGGAAGCCUUUUGUGAUGGUGCCUGGAAUAAAUAACAACCGCUUUCUAUGUCCUCAGCCAUCUAACUGCAGCCACCGUUAUUUCAGAACACCCCCACCCCACCUCGGAGGGGCAGAAGUGGGGGACUUCAGCGGAAGGGUGCGGUCGCCUGAAGAGGUCUCCUGAGCCUCGGGUGCGUGUGGGCUUGGAGGACUGGAAUAAGAAGAAAAUAUGUUCCAAGCCCUGAGGGCCCUCUUCCUCAUUAGAGGCACACAAGUGGGGCCCUCUAGGCCCCACACCCUCUGGGCGCGUGCCCUCCCUGACUCCCUACGCCAAGACUAAAAAAUUUGAAGACUCAGACCACAUGUUCCUACCUCACAAUCUCUCUAAAAAGAGCCUCUCUAUACUGAACCGGCUCCUGUCACCUGAGAAAUCUGCUGGAAAAGAAAGCUGGAUAUUGAAGCAGCAAGACCCAGAGGAAGAAGCUGCUGUCCUCUUUGGAGCUCGAUGGGGUGGCCCUGGGCCUGGCCCCCACCCAGGCCUGACAGAGGCAGGAGGGUAUGGCGGGGGCCUAGGGCUUUGCCCCAGACCUUGGACCCCGCAGCGUCUGCCAGGAGACGUCGGAGGAAACGCUUUUACCACCUGGGCGACCUUGACUGCAGCCGAUUAAAGUUUAAUCCGAGGUGUGUGCUCA